UGGGGAAUCUUGCGCAAUGGGCGAAAGCCUGACGCAGCGACGCCGCGUGAGUGAUGAAGGCCCUCGGGUUGUAAAGCUCUGUGGAGGGGGACGAAUAAGCAUUGGUUAAUAUCCAGUGUGAUGACGGUACCCUUUUAGCAAGCACCGGCUAACUCUGUGCCAGCAGCCGCGGUAAGACAGAGGGUGCAAACGUUGUUCGGAAUUACUGGGCGUAAAGCGCGUGUAGGCUGCUUCGCAAGUCGGAUGUGAAAGCCCUGGGCUCAACCCAGGAAGUGCAUUCGAAACUGCAGAGCUGGAGUCCUGGAGAGGAAGGCGGAAUUCUCGGUGUAGAGGUGAAAUUCGUAGAUAUCGAGAGGAACACCGGUGGCGAAGGCGGCCUUCUGGACAGUGACUGACGCUGAGACGCGAAAGCGUGGGGAGCAAACA
Molecule: ribosomal RNA, 426 nt
Filed under: uncultured Polyangiaceae bacterium
Lineage: Bacteria; Pseudomonadati; Myxococcota; Polyangiales; Polyangiaceae
Also listed under: 1 other name
Description: bacterial SSU rRNA
Rfam family: Bacterial small subunit ribosomal RNA
Source: RNAcentral